CACGUACUGAGAUGAUUCGGAGAUUGCUUCAGACAGGUGGCACACGUAUCGAAGUAGCGAUUGGACCGUGUCUCUGAAGCAAUGGCUGAAUAUUCACGUGUAAAGUCAACUAAAUUGGUAUUGAAGGGCAUGAAUAAAGGGACAAAGAAGAAGCACAAAGACAAAAGGCGAAAGCUGACAGAUGAA
Molecule: long non-coding RNA, 186 nt
Organism: Thalassophryne amazonica
Lineage: Eukaryota; Metazoa; Chordata; Actinopteri; Batrachoidiformes; Batrachoididae
Exons: 2
Source: RefSeq, a predicted model, not a curated record